RNAcentral lists this ribosomal RNA (433 nucleotides) under uncultured bacterium. RNAcentral describes it as "partial 16S ribosomal RNA". It matches the Rfam family "Bacterial small subunit ribosomal RNA", at positions 29 to 507 of the family's 1533-position model. The record is from RNAcentral.
AACGAACGCUGGCGGCAUGCCUAACACAUGCAAGUCGAACGAGACCUUCGGGCCUAGUGGCGCACGGGUGCGUAACGCGUGGGAACCUGCCCUUAGGUUCGGAAUAACUGCCCGAAGGGGGUGCUAAUACCGGAUAAUGUCUUCGGACCAAAGAUUUUUCGCCGUUGGAUGGGGGCGGGUUGGAUUAGGUAGUUGGUAGGGUAAAAGCGUACCAAGGCGACGAUCCAUAGCUGGUCUGAGAGGAUGACCAGUCACGCUGGGAAUGAGACACGGCCCAGAAUCGGACGGGAGGGAGCAGUGGGGAAUAUUGGACGAUGGGGGAAGGCGUGAUCAAGCAAUGCCGGGUGAGUGAUGAAGGGCUUAGGGUUGUAAAGCCCUUUUACCCGGGAUGAUAAUGACAGUACCGGGAGAAGAAGCACCGGCUAACUCCGUG